This 253-nucleotide ribosomal RNA is filed under the name uncultured bacterium. Its description in RNAcentral is "partial 16S ribosomal RNA". It matches the Rfam family "Bacterial small subunit ribosomal RNA", at positions 524 to 776 of the family's 1533-position model. The record is from RNAcentral.
UACAGAGGUCCCGAGCGUUGUUCGGAUUCACUGGGCGUAAAGGGUGCGUAGGUGGCAUGGUAAGUUUGAUGUGAAAGCUCAGGGCUCAACCCUGAAAUGGCAUUGAAUACUACUGUGCUGGAGGUUUGGAGGGGGGACUGGAAUUCUUGGUGUAGCAGUGAAAUGCGUAGAUAUGUGGAGGAACACCGAUGGCGAAGGCAGCCCCCUGGGACGGUACUGACGCUGAGACGCGAAAGCGUGGGGAGCGAACAGG